CGGGACGGGUGAGUAACGCGUGGAUAACCUGCCUCACACUGGGGGAUAACAGUUAGAAAUGGCUGCUAAUACCGCAUAAGCGCACAGUACCGCAUGGUACGGUGUGAAAAACCCAGGUGGUGUGAGAUGGAUCCGUGUCUGAUUAGCCAGUUGGCGGGGUAACGGCCCACCAAAGCGACGAUCAGUAGCCGACCUGAGAGGGUGACCGGCCACAUUGGGACUGAGACACGGCCCAA
Molecule: ribosomal RNA, 236 nt
Filed under: uncultured bacterium
Lineage: Bacteria
Description: partial 16S ribosomal RNA
Rfam family: Bacterial small subunit ribosomal RNA
Source: RNAcentral